AAGGCGGGGGCGGGACGGGGGCAGUGUGGCGGGAGGCCCCACCCCGCCGCGGCGGCCAUCUUGGGGAGGUCGUCCCCGGCCUUACUGGGGACAGCCUGGCCCCGCUCUGGAGGCGGCGCUCGGGAGGCGGGAGGUGGGUGUGGGGAGGCCGGCCUGACGUGGUUCCGGUGCCCCCUGGCAAGCCUUGCCAGUCCUCCUUCCUGAGCCACGGUCCCCGUCCCCGCGGGAGCUUCUUGACGCAAAAAACGCGGCCUGUUCCGGGGUCCUGGUUCCUUUCUAAAAGACCCACAUUUUUGCUGGUCCCUGGCGUUGAGAGAGCUGUGAGCUAAGAUUUCUGAGCGCGGGGACCAGGGUUCGAAGCUGCUAGAGCCGGAGACAUGGCUGCCGGUGUCUCAGAUGAGGCUCGUGAGGAACCCUUAAGAGACAGAAAACAGUUUCUGGAGGAAACGGCACGAUUCAAUUAUAUGGUUAUUCUUGUCAUCCUUGUCACCAGUGCUGUCAAAUAGCAAUAUGAUGCGAUCCACACAUGUAUUCAAAGAAUUACCAAUAGGCGCAGAAAAAACCCCAGGAACUGAGAUAAAAUUUCAUAUGUUGUGUUCCGGAAAAUCACUUUGAGCAGAACUGAGGGUGCUUGCCAUCAAGAACUACUUUGGGAGAAGUUUCUGUUUACAGCCUUAGGCUGGGCGGCUUUCCGGAGUAGAGACUGUGACUUUCUCACUAAAUUAAUAUCAAAAUGAGUUUUGGCUUAAGGAAGUGCAGCCGCUACGGAUUCUUUAAAAUCAGCAACCUCUACAGCACCUACCCAGAAUCAUGCCAAGUUUACAGAGAGCUCCCUAACAAGGAACUGCUGGCCUGUAAAAUCCCAGCUGGCUCCUCACUGGGCCCCUGCAAAGCCUGAGAGCCCCAUGAGAUAGGGGGAGACUCAAAGCUCACCGGCCCUGCCCACCAUCUGACAAUUUCAGCGUCGCUUCCGGGAGUACAAGUGCCGCUCCUGUGCGCGGCCAGGGUUUGCAGGACCAUGUGACCUAACCGCGCCCCAGGCUUCCUCGCCAGCUGCCCGCCUUCCCCAGCCCUUCCGCCCUGAGAGGGGAUCCCAGAACCACAUCCAGACCGAUCAGGGCCUUCUUGCGCUCUGUCUCAGCUUCCUUCUCCACCACCUUCUGUUUCUGGGCUGCAAUGAGCAGCUUUGUCUUCUCGCUUUCCCUGAAGGGAAGAACAGUAUGCAGCCGUGAGGCGGCUGCUGAAAACGCUUCCGAGGAACUUCACUGUCCCGCGGAGGAACCAAACUUCUGCUGAGGAGAGGCAAACCUGGCUUUCUCACUCUCGCCUGGAAGGCUGUUCCCUGUCCCAACUGUCACCUGCUUGAAGUAGCCGUUCUUGGUCACCUGUGCCCAAAGAGGAGCCACUGAGGAACAGCAAAUGCCUUUAACAGAUGCCCAAAUGGAGGCCCAUGGAGGUUCAGUGAUGUGCUCAAGCGAGUUAGCAGUCAAACUAAUAAACCUGUUUGGUCACUAUGCUUUAA
Long non-coding RNA from Felis catus (domestic cat), 1522 nucleotides. RefSeq lists it as uncharacterized. Lineage: Eukaryota; Metazoa; Chordata; Mammalia; Carnivora; Felidae. The record is from RefSeq and is a predicted model, not a curated record. The transcript is spliced from 6 exons.